GAUGAACGCUGGCGGCGUGCCUAAUACAUGCAAGUCGAGCGAACGGACGAGAAGCUUGCUUCUCUGAUGUUAGCGGCGGACGGGUGAGUAACACGUGGAUAACCUACCUAUAAGACUGGGAUAACUUCGGGAAACCGGAGCUAAUACCGGAUAAUAUUUUGAACCGCAUGGUUCAAAAGUGAAAGACGGUCUUGCUGUCACUUAUAGAUGGAUCCGCGCUGCAUUAGCUAGUUGGUAAGGUAACGGCUUACCAAGGCAACGAUGCAUAGCCGACCUGAGAGGGUGAUCGGCCACACUGGAACUGAGACACGGUCCAGACUCCUACGGGAGGCAGCAGUAGGGAAUCUUCCGCAGUGGGCGAAAGCCUGACGGAGCAACGCCGCGUGAGUGAUGAAGGUCUUCGGAUCGUAAACUCUGUUAUUAGGGAAGAACAUAUGUGUAAGUAACUGUGCACAUCUUGACGGUACCUAAUCAGAAAGCCACGGCUAACUACGUG
Molecule: ribosomal RNA, 496 nt
Filed under: uncultured bacterium
Lineage: Bacteria
Description: partial 16S ribosomal RNA
Rfam family: Bacterial small subunit ribosomal RNA
Source: RNAcentral